CUGGCGGCAGGCCUAACACAUGCAAGUCGAACGCCCCCUUCGGGGGGAGUGGCGCACGGGUGAGUAACGCGUGGGAACCUACCCCUUGGUACGGAACAACGCAGGGAAACUUGCGCUAAUACCGUAUGAGCUCUUCGGAGGAAAGAUUUAUCGCCGAGGGAUGGGCCCGCGUCGGAUUAGGUAGUUGGUGGGGUAAUGGCCCACCAAGCCUGCGAUCCGUAGCUGGUCUGAGAGGAUGAUCAGCCACACUGGGACUGAGACACGGCCCAGACUCCUACGGGAGGCAGCAGUGGGGAAUAUUGGACAAUGGGCGCAAGCCUGAUCCAGCCAUGCCGCGUGAGUUGAUGAAGGCCUUCGGGUUUGUAAAGCUCUUU
This 374-nucleotide ribosomal RNA is filed under the name uncultured bacterium. RNAcentral describes it as "bacterial SSU rRNA". It matches the Rfam family "Bacterial small subunit ribosomal RNA", at positions 36 to 436 of the family's 1533-position model. The record is from RNAcentral.